This 202-nucleotide unclassified non-coding RNA is filed under the name Hevea brasiliensis (rubber tree). The record is from RNAcentral. Lineage: Eukaryota; Viridiplantae; Streptophyta; Magnoliopsida; Malpighiales; Euphorbiaceae.
AAAUGCUUUCAAUUCAGUAAUUCAUAUUACUUCAAUCCAUUGCAAAGUCUUUAAUAAAAGAAAAUCCAAAACAAAAGCAACCAAUCCCUAAAACUCUCCACAGUUAUGAAGAUGAUAAAUUGAAACUAUAGCAGACAAGAAUUAGAUUUCAAAUGUUUGAUUAUAUGCAACGUAUUAAAAGCAGUAACAUCACCAAAAAUCA